UAUGUUUUCUUUCUUUGAAUGCAAUGUUAAUGGCACAGUACCUAAUGAAUAUUGUUGGCCAUUUUCUAAACCAGCAAUAAUGAAAAGACUAAUUGGAUGAAGACUCUCUCUCUGUAAUGAGUUUGUUGUUAAAUAUACAGUAGUUAUGGAAUGAAAAUGAAUACUUUGUCCCAGGCUCCUGGAUACGUUGCAUUUGGCUUCUGUGUUGACAGGUUUCCCGUUCUGAGAAAGGCCGUGACUGUAAAACUCAAGAAAGAACACACAAGACUCCUUAUUAGCUGUUUGAAUGGAGAGGUCAUGGAAAGAGUUUCCGCCCCUCACUGUAGGAAGACCCAGCGUGGGGUGAUGUCAGGCCGAUACCUGUGCAUGCUGAGUGUUUGCUUACGGAACUCAAGCACAUCAGCUUGGGCUGGUUGAAGAAUUGUUACUGAUUCCCAGUAGGACUCAAGUCAAGAAUAUUUCUGAAGCUGGCUUUCCUUACCUAGUGAGCCGUUCUCAUGUGUUCAUUGAACUAAUCUGUGUCUGUCUGCAAAGUGAGUGUCUUACUGGUAAAUAUGUUUUACCUUUUGAGCCAUUUGAAAGAAAAACACAUUGAACACAGCAGAAACAAAAGAAUGCGGGGGGCACCGUGUGAGGUGACACGCUCGCUGAUCAGGUGUCGCCGGCCUCCCACUAAUGCAGGGGUCAGCAUUUCAGAGCAGGUGCAGCGUCAGUUGCUGUCCCUUUCUGUUCGGAAGCUUCAGUGUGAACAACAGAAAGGGCUCCUGAGGGGAGGUGGCUGUGUUCCUGUAGUGCUGUAAGUCCCCGGACUAAAUACUUGUUGUAACUGUUAGUUAGGCAGAUGACAGCCCAAUAUACUGCUUUUUAAUAAUGUGACUUAAGUGAACACAUGAGUGUUUUACCAGAUGUUAGAGUUCUUACAUCAGUGAGUGAGUAAAUGUGCAUGCAGAGAAUUCUUUUCUUCUGGAAAAAAACAAAACAGAACAGAACAAGCUGUAGGCGCAGUGCUAAUUCUCGGGGUGGGGGUGGGGGUGGGGUCCUCUUUUUGUUGUUGUUUUUCCCUGAAAGUUCUCAUUCCCGACCAUGGAAAGUACACAGUCUGAGACAUGGGUGGAUAGAAAAAGGCUUCUUACUUUUUAUUUUAAAAAAAUUAUAUACAUAUGUUCUUUCUAGAGUCUUAAUUUGGCAGUUAAGAACUAAAUACUUUAGCUGCUGUUUACCUUCAGUAAUUACUGUCACCUCUCCGAUACCAUUUGUCACUUUAUUUUCUAUUGGUUGUACAUAACAGUUUUAACCUGGUUGUAGAAUUGGAAUACUAAUUGUAUAGUCUUUACGUUCCAUUUUCAAACAAGGACUCAAGAGCUGCAGGCAGGCGCACUGCAGUCUCACGCAGGCCACAGCCGGCGUUUAUUCCUCUGUCUCGGCGGCUGAAUGGUCAUUUUUGCAGUUGGAGUCAUAGUCCCACCUCUUGGAAGCCACUGAGUGGAUUAGGCAGGAAGGGGGUUUGUCUAAUAGACAAACGGGCCUCCCCCGUGCUGAGAACCCCUGCUCUGAGGAGGCUGGAGACAGCGCUCAUUUCUCACCUGAGAGAUGAGGUAAAGCAAUCAAAAUCAAGUUCAAUUAUGUUUUUAAAUCUUGUACUUCAAAAUCCUUGCAGUAUUUUAAAUUAUUGAUUCUAUUACAAGCCAGGAUCAAAAACGCCAAUAUCUUAUCUAAAGAAACGUCCUAAUCCUGGAGAAAAGGUUUGCUAUGCUUGUUUGAGUAGCUUGACUUAGGGCCAAGGGAUAUAUUACUGCCACCCCCUCUUAUUACUCCCCUGCCCCCCACAGAGCAGGAUCCAAUUUACCUGGGGGGAGGGGGAGAGACAGUGUUGGCUUUUGGGAAAAUGUUCCAAAAAUGCGUGUCUACAUUAGUUUUAAGAUGCUAACUAUAUUAAUGGUAAAUAUCUUAACAUCAGGCUUCUCUCCUCCAUAUGGGUUCUAUCAUAGAACACAAUAGGAAACAGGUGCAGCUGGCGUUGCCCUUGCCAAGCUAUUGAUGGUGAGAGUGCCUGACAGCAGCCUGCUGUACGGAUUGAGUGGCCUUGGGUCACUCCUGUUUGUUUGGAGGAAAAAGAUAAGCUAGAUGUAUAGCCUAGUAGCUACUAUAAGACAGUGUUUACAGAGCUAAUCCUCUUCAAGUCUCAAAACUGAGACAACAUUAGUUUUCAGGUUUUGUCCUCACAUCUUUUUCCUUACUAAAACCUAACCAUAAUGAAGAUAGAAUUUAUGUUUACAUUUUGGGCAUGAUGUGGCUGCGUGCAGUCUCCACGCUUUUGAACCCCGUAUUUGAUUCUGCAGUCGUGUGAGACUUUUCUCCUUGACAGCUUAGUACAGAAGCAAGGAAAGGUUUUGAGUUCUUGGGGGUGCAAAGGAAGAAUUGCCUACAUUCUAAUCCCAGUGUCGCUGCCCUCCCUGUGGUGUUAAGCCCAGGGCUGUGUGUGCGAGGCAAGUGCUCUCGGCUUUUACAGUGCAAACAGGAUCUACUGAAAGGUAGACAUGCUGGGUGGAAAGGAACGAGCUCCUAUGGAACAUAAGCUUGCUCUCACCACCACAUAGUUUUGGCAGAAACCUUUGUGUUACACUUCCCAACGAGGCCAGAGUUGCUGUGGCAAAAAUAACCUUUCUAAAGCAAUGGGCUUCAUCUUAGAACCAGUCAAUUUAAAUAACGUGAGCUGUAACCAAGAAAACCCACACUUCCAAUAGCGUAACAUUGACACUGUAAGUGGUGACCAGCCCCAUUCUACCUGCCUGUUAGGACUGAGAAUUCCAAAACUCUGUAAGUUAUAAGUGGGGAACAGGGGUGCUGGAUCCUUCUAUAGCAGAGAGCAAGUAGUCUUUCAGGAACAUUUGUGCAAAAGUGUUUGGUUGUUUGUUGGGGGGGGGGGGUUCUUUGUUUUUGUUUUUGUUUUAUUUUGUUUUGUUUUUUCAGAGACAGGGUUUCUCUAAUUCAGGGAUCACCUGUCUUUGCCUCCCAUGCUGGGAUUAAAGGUGUACACCACCACACACAUCUUUUUGUAAAACUUAAUUCGUAUAAAUUCAGAUUUGUGGCAAAAAUGUAUCUUCUUUAUAUUCAGC
Molecule: long non-coding RNA, 3116 nt
Filed under: Mus musculus (house mouse)
Lineage: Eukaryota; Metazoa; Chordata; Mammalia; Rodentia; Muridae
Description: long non-coding RNA chr14:21793141-21796257
Source: RNAcentral